UUUUUCAGGGCGGGGCGCAAUUCCCCACUGGCGGUACAGUCCGCGACUCCUUAAAGUUUCUUUAGGGACCGAUUCGGUGAAACUCCGGAACCAACAGUAUAGUCUGGAUGAAAGAAGAA
Molecule: non-coding RNA, 119 nt
Filed under: bovine gut metagenome
Description: FMN riboswitch (RFN element)
Rfam family: FMN riboswitch aptamer (RFN element)
About the family: The RFN element is a highly conserved domain that is found frequently in the 5'-untranslated regions of prokaryotic mRNAs that encode for flavin mononucleotide (FMN) biosynthesis and transport proteins. This element is a metabolite-dependent riboswitch that directly binds FMN in the absence of proteins. In Bacillus subtilis, the riboswitch most likely controls gene expression by causing premature transcription termination within the 5' untranslated region of the ribDEAHT operon and precluding access to the ribosome-binding site of ypaA mRNA.
Source: RNAcentral